GGCCAGGCUUUUAAGGGUGUACGGUGAAUGCCUUGGCACCAGAAGUCGAUGAAGGACGUGGUAAGCUGCGAUAAGCUCGGGGGAGGAGUAAACAUCCUUUGAUCCCGAGAUGUCCGAAUGGGGAAACCCUUCCUAAGAAAUUAGGAAAUUUUAAAGUGAAAGCUCGAACGUCAGUUUGAGUCAUAGCUUUAAAAAGACAACGCGGGGAACUGAAACAUCUUAGUACCCGCAGGAAAAGAAAUCAAUUGAGAUUCCGCCAGUAGUGGCGAGCGAACGCGGAAUAGCCUAAAUUCUGAUAGCUUGCUGUCAGAAGGUUGUAGGGCAGUUUGCGGUUUAGAGCCAGAAGACACCAUUUUACUAAUUGAAUUUCUCUGGAAAGAGAAGCCAUAGAAGGUGAUAGCCCUGUAAAUAAAAGUAAAAUGGACUUCCAAACUGUUCCUGAGUACCACGAGUCACGUGAAAUCUCGUGGGAAUCUGGGGGGCCCAUCCUCCAAGGCUAAAUACUCUCUGGUGACCGAUAGUGAACUAGUACCGCGAGGGAAAGGCGAAAAGAACCCCUGUUAGGGGAGUGAAAUAGAACCUGAAACCGUCCAUCUACAAUCUGUCGAAGCACUAUGCCCCGACGCAAGUCGGGGAAUGUGCGACGGCGUGCCUGUUGAAGAAUGAUCCAGCGAGUUACUGGUCCCAGCAAGGUUAACCCCGGUUUGUCGGGGGGAGCCGUAGCGAAAGCGAGUCCUAAUUGGGCGAAUAGUUGGUAUCAGUAGACCCGAAUCCAAGUGAUCUAUUCCUGAGCAGGGUGAACCCCGAUUAACAAUCGGGGGGAGGCCCGAAGGGUUAAACGUUGAAAAGUUUCUCCAUGACUUGGGAAUAGGAGUGAAAGGCCAAUCGAACUUGGUGAUAGCUGGUUCUCCUCGAAAUAGCUUUAGGGCUAGCGUUGUGAGUUAAAUCACGGGGGUAGAGCACUGAAUGAUGUAGGCUCUGCGACCCAGGGUCCGAAUUCAAUCAAACUCCGAAUACCGUGAUGUAUUUCACAGCAGUCAGUUCGUGAGGGAUAAGCUUCACGUGCAAAAGGGAAACAGCCCAGAUCGCCGAUUAAGGUCCCCAAAUUUACGCUAAGUGGUAAAGGAAGUGAAUUUGCUAAAACAGCUAGGAGGUUGGCUUAGAAGCAGCCACCCUUUAAAGAGUGCGUAACAGCUCACUAGUCUAGCAAAUUUGCACCGAAAAUGACUCGGGGCUAAAGCGUAAUACCGAAAUCGCGGAUUUCUUGAUUUAUUUCAAGAAGUGGUAGAGGAGCGUUCUUAAUGCUGCGAAGGCGUACCGUAAGGAGCGCUGGAGCGUUAAGAAGUGAGGAUGCUGGAAUAAGUAGCGAUAAACAAGGUGAGAAUCCUUGUCGCCAAAAGCCUAAGGUUUCCUGGGCAAUGUUCGUCAGCUCAGGGUUAGUCGGUCCUAAGCUGAGGCCGAAAGGCGUAAGUAAAGGACAUCCGGUUAAUAUUCCGGAACUACGAUAAAUGCGUCAUAACUCAAGGGGUGACGCAGUAAGGUAAGCCUACCGGGUAAAGGUUGUCCCGGGGAAAGACUGUAGGGAGAUCUUCGAGGUAAAUCCCGAGGAUCGUUAAACUGAACGUCGAGACUAGUGCGGGUAACCGUGCGAAGUGGCCCAACUACACUGCCAAGAAAAACCUCGUGGGGAGUAUUUAUCGUAACCGUACCUCAAACCGACACAGGUAGGCGGGUUGAGUAUACUAAGGCGCGCGAGAUAACCUUCGCUAAGGAACUAGGCAAACUAGCUCCGUAACUUCGGAAGAAGGAGUGCCUGAGUAAUGUCGUGGAUUUUAAAGUUUACGGCAUGAAAAGGUCGCAGUGAAAUGGGUUCCGUGACUGUUUAACAAAAACACAGGGCUCUGCUGAAAUCACAAGAUGAUGUAUAGGGCCUGAUGCCUGCCCGGUGCUGGAAGGUCAAGGUAAGGGGUCAUUCCGACUUGUCGGAAGAAGCUCCGAACUUAAGCCCCAGUAAACGGCGGCGGUAACUAUAACCGUCCUAAGGUAGCGAAAUUCCUUGUCGGGUAAGUUCCGACCUGCACGAAUGGCAUAACGAAGGAACCGCUGUCUCAGCGAAGGGCUCGGCGAAAUUGUGGUGCAAGUGAAGACGCUUGCUACGCGCAGCAAGACGAGAAGACCCCAUGGAGCUUCACUGUAGCUUGUUAUUGAAUUACGGUUUUGAAUGCGUAGGAUAGGUGGGAGUCGGUGAUCCUCAGGUUUUGGCCUGAGGGGAGACGUCGGUGAAAUACCACCCUUUUAAAAUUGUGAUUCUAAUUUCAUGCCGUAUAACCGGCUGAAAGACAGUGGCAGGUGGGCAGUUUGACUGGGGCGGUCGCCUCCUAAAAUGUAACGGAGGCGUUCAAAGGUUCCCUCAAGGCGUAUAGAAAUCGCCUGACGAGUGCAAGGACAGAAGGGAGCUUGACUGCAAGGCUGACAGGCCAAGCAGAUACGAAAGUAGGACCUAGUGAUCCGGUGGUUCCGAAUGGAAGGGCCAUCGCUCAACGAAUAAAAGCUACCCUGGGGAUAACAGGCUAGUCUGAUCCAAGAGUCCAUAUCGACGAUCAGGUUCGGCACCUCGAUGUCGGCUCAUCGCAUCCUCCCGCUGAAGCAGGUGGGAAGGGUUGGGCUGUUCGCCCAUUAAAGCGGUACGUGAGCUGGGUUCAGUACGUCGUGAGACAGUACGGUCUCUAUCUGCUGCGUGCGAAGGGAACUUGAAGGGAGCUGUCCACAGUACGAGAGGACCUGGAUGGACAAACCUCCUGUAUACCAGUUGUCCUGCCAAGGGCAUAAGCUGGGUAGCGGAUGUUUGGAAGGGAUAAGCGCUGAAAGCAUCUAAGUGCGAAACCCACCCUAAGAUAAGGUUCCCCAUCUGUUAAGGAGUAAGGACCCCCAUAGACUAUGGGGUUGAUAGGGUAGAAGUGUAAGCAUAGUAAUAUGUUGAGCUAACUACUACUAAUCGUCCGAGGGUCUGGCCU
Molecule: ribosomal RNA, 3014 nt
Filed under: Elusimicrobiota bacterium
Lineage: Bacteria; Pseudomonadati; Elusimicrobiota
Description: Elusimicrobia bacterium (anaerobic digester metagenome) 23S ribosomal RNA
Rfam family: Bacterial large subunit ribosomal RNA
Source: RNAcentral